This 343-nucleotide unclassified non-coding RNA is filed under the name soil metagenome. RNAcentral describes it as "partial contains 5.8S ribosomal RNA, internal transcribed spacer 2, and large subunit ribosomal RNA". The stretch from base 1 to 120 matches the Rfam family "5.8S ribosomal RNA", at positions 35 to 154 of the family's 154-position model. The record is from RNAcentral.
GAUGAAGAACGUAGCGAAAUGCGAUAAGUAAUGUGAAUUGCAGAAUUCAGUGAAUCAUCGAAUCUUUGAACGCACAUUGCGCCCGCUAGUAUUCUGGCGGGCAUGCCUGUCCGAGCGUCAUUUCAACCCUCAAGCCCCCGGGCUUGGUGUUGGGGAUCGGCGAGCCUCCGCGCCCGCCGUCCCCUAAAUCUAGUGGCGGUCUCGCUGUAGCUCCCUCUGCGUAGUAGCACACCUCGCACUGGGAAACAGCGCGGCCACGCCGUUAAACCCCCAACUUCUGAACGUUUGACCUCGGAUCAGGUAGGAAUACCCGCUGAACUUAAGCAUAUCAAUAAGCGGAGGA